GAUGAACGCUGGCGGCGUGCCUAAUACAUGCAAGUCGAGCGAACAGACGAGGAUCUUGCUCCUCUGUCGUUAGCGGCGGACGGGUGAGUAACACGUGGAUAACCUACCUAUAAGUCUGGGAUAACUUCGGGAAACCGGCGCUAAUACCGGAUAAUAUAUUGAACCGCAUGGUUCAUUAGUGAAAGACGGUUUUGCUGUAUCUUAUAGAUGGAUCCGCGCCGCAUUAGCUAGUUGGUAGGGUAACGGCUUACCAAGGCGACGAUGCGUAGCCGACGUGAGAGAGUGAUCGGCCACACGGGAACUGAGACAGGGUCCAGACUACUACGAGAGGCAGCAGUAGGGAAUCUUCCGCAAUGGGCGAAAGCAUGACGGAACAACGCCGCGUGUGUGGUGAAAGUCUUCGGAUCGUAAAACUCUGUUAUGAGUGGAGAACAAAUGUGGAAGUAACUAUGCACGUCUUGACGGUACCUAAUCAGAAAGCCACGGCUAACUACGUG
RNAcentral lists this ribosomal RNA (497 nucleotides) under uncultured bacterium. RNAcentral describes it as "partial 16S ribosomal RNA". It matches the Rfam family "Bacterial small subunit ribosomal RNA", at positions 28 to 507 of the family's 1533-position model. The record is from RNAcentral.